CUCAGCCCGGGUCCAGGAGUGGCGAGCGCGGAACUGAGGACAGCCGUGGUAACGGCAGCAAGAGGUUUCUCCGUGUCACCAGAGGGCAGCGCCCGCUCGGACGAAUCCACGGCUGGGGAGUACGAGGGUCCGGUGACCAAUUAAAUGAAGCCCGUCGCCAUGCUAUGAGCGCCCAGGAGUGCUUCACUCGUGCUCAGAGGGGCCGUGGUCUGUAGUUCAUCAUGCCGACUUUGGCCUGGGUUUGUAGGUGAGGACAUGUGCAAGGAUGGACGUCAACCGGGAGGGCCACGAUCUGGCCGGAAGACAUACCUAUCCCAGCUAGCCCAACCCAGCCCAACCUCUCAGCCUCAGGUAGGAACCAGAGCAGAUGCCUCAGCAGCACGUCCUUGAGGUGUUUCCAGGCUUGAAGCCACCAACUCGGAACUCAGCAUUUGUUUCUUGCUGGUAGGGGUUGGAGUGUCCUGAAGGAUGGAGGCCAGCAGCAGACCUCAGGCCAUGCCCAUUGUUGCUGUGGUUUUCAUCCUGCCUGAUUGGCUGUCCCAGAGGAAGGCCUGGGGUGCCUGGCAGGGGCUUUCUGCUUAGGGCCUGAGAAGCAACGUAGGACCUCUCAGGAAAGAACCCUGUGGCAGAGUUAGUAGUGGUGGGUUCUCCCAGCACAUUUGCUGUUCUCUUCUACUUCUUGCUUGGUUCUCCAGCCUUCAACUUCCCUUCAGGAAAGCUUUGAAGCGCCCUCACUCCCCACACCCAGGGCGUCACCACAGCCCCUAACCAUCCCAUUUCUCUUCUUGGACCCCAUUCUAAGGAUGGGGGUGAGCUCCAUACUAGGACACAUUUUUCCAGGCACUUGGCUGGGGAGCCUUUAAUAUGAGUGGAGACACCCUUGCUUCCCUAAUUGCAGAGCUGCGAGCACAAAGCCCAGCCCCUCUGCGCUGAGACUCCCUCAGCAC
Molecule: long non-coding RNA, 947 nt
Organism: Perognathus longimembris pacificus (Pacific pocket mouse)
Lineage: Eukaryota; Metazoa; Chordata; Mammalia; Rodentia; Heteromyidae
Exons: 3
Source: RefSeq, a predicted model, not a curated record